AUGCUGUGCUGAACAUUGAGCCGAACUGGUCCACUUUCUUUACCGGAGAGUCUGUUACCUUCAUGUGUGGCGUUACGGGAGUAAAAGACCCCAACUCGUAUUACAAAAUCUAUAAGGCUGAUCAACAAGAUUGUCGACUUACACCAAAAACGAGAACUUAACAUUACAACCUCUAGCUAAAGGCUGGAGUGGUGAAUACCACUGCUUGAUGUACUCAUCUGGGCUCAACUAAAGAGAGUAACAAAGUCUCUCUCACUGUAUCAGACAAAGACGUGAUUGUGGAAACACCUGCAUCUACCUUGUUUGAAGGAGAACCAGUGACUCUGCGCUGUAGGCAUCGUACCCCGAGAGAGGGGCAGGAUGCCGUCUUCUACAGAGACGGAUCACCUAUUGAAGUGGACACAAACCAUCAGUCACCCAUGAGAUCAACAAACACAGUUCAAGUGACGUCAGAUCGGAGCUCUUACAUGUGUAAAUUUGAGGACGAAGAAUCUGAAGCAAUAACUCUGAAAAUGGAACCACAACCAAAGGCCCAACUGAGCCAAGACGAUCAUGUCGGGGGCAACGUGACCCUGACCUGCUCUGUGAAGACAUCAUCUUCAUCUGGUUGGAAAUACUUCUGGUACAGAGGCAAGAAAGCCUCUGAAGCCCUGACCACACAGGGUGUGGUCUUCCACUCAGAUGCAAAGAUCAGUGUCUCAGAAGGAGGACUCUACUGGUGCAGAGGAGGAACAGGAGACCCCGUUUACUACACAGAGUACAGCCAUUCAGCCGGUAAAGAAGAAAUCUGCUCUUUGUUUGAAUUAAAAUUAAAGGCUUAAGUAAACACUUGCAACAAAAGACACCUAAACAUGAACUUAAAAUA
Molecule: long non-coding RNA, 865 nt
Filed under: Cottoperca gobio
Lineage: Eukaryota; Metazoa; Chordata; Actinopteri; Perciformes; Bovichtidae
Description: lncRNA (ENSCGOG00000019910.1)
Source: RNAcentral